CCUACGGGAGGCAGCAGUAGGGAAUUUUCGGCAAUGGGGGAAACCCUGACCGAGCAACGCCGCGUGAACGAAGAAGGUAUUCGUAAUGUAAAGUUCUUUUGACAGGGAAGAAAGAUAAAUUUGACGAUACCUGCAGAAUAAACUCCGGCUAACUACGUGCCAGCAGCCGAGGUAAUACGUAGGGCGCGAGCGUUAUCCGGAAUUAUGGGGCGAAAGGGGUGCCUAGAUGGCAUAGUAAGUCUUUUGGAAAAAUGCUGGGCUAAACCCAGUAGGGCAAAAGAUACUGUAAAGCUAGAGUAUGAAAGAGGCAAGUGGAACUACAUGUGUAGCGGUAAAAUGCGUAAAUAUAUGUAAGAACACCAGUGGCGAAGGCGGCUCGCUGGGUCGAUACUGACAUUGAGGCACGAAAGCGUGGGGAGCAAACAGGAUUAGAUACCCCGGUAGUC
Molecule: ribosomal RNA, 446 nt
Filed under: uncultured bacterium
Lineage: Bacteria
Description: partial 16S ribosomal RNA
Rfam family: Bacterial small subunit ribosomal RNA
Source: RNAcentral